CUACGGGCCGCUGCAGUGAGGAAUAUUGCACAAUGGGGGGAACCCUGAUGCAGCAACGCCGCGUGGAGGAUGACGCAUUUCGGUGUGUAAACUCCUUUUAUAUGUCAAGAAAAUGACGGUAGCAUAUGAAUAAGCACCGGCUAACUCCGUGCCAGCAGCCGCGGUAAUACGGAGGGUGCAAGCGUUACUCGGAAUCACUGGGCGUAAAGGACGCGUAGGCGGGGUGGAAAGUCAGGUGUGAAAUCCUACAGCUUAACUGUAGAACUGCACUUGAAACUUCUAAUCUAGAGUAUGGGAGGGGGGGAUGGAAUUAGUGGUGUAGGGGUAAAAUCCGUAGAUAUCACUAGGAAUACCUAAAGCGAAGGCGAUCUCCUGGAACAUUACUGACGCUAAGGCGUGAAAGCGUGGGGAGCAAACAGGAUUAGAUACCCCGGUAGUC
RNAcentral lists this ribosomal RNA (439 nucleotides) under uncultured bacterium. Its description in RNAcentral is "partial 16S ribosomal RNA". It matches the Rfam family "Bacterial small subunit ribosomal RNA", at positions 339 to 795 of the family's 1533-position model. The record is from RNAcentral.